UCACUGGCCACUCCUCGUGCUGCGACAGGUGCUUCCGGCUGUGUUAAUAUUUGCGAGUCAGGUACCUGAAGUAGCGCGCGGAGUGGCUCGGAA
This 93-nucleotide microRNA precursor is filed under the name Daphnia magna. Its description in RNAcentral is "mir-275 microRNA precursor family". It matches the Rfam family "mir-275 microRNA precursor family". The record is from Rfam by way of RNAcentral. Lineage: Eukaryota; Metazoa; Arthropoda; Branchiopoda; Diplostraca; Daphniidae.